AAGUCUUCCAGCAACAUUCCAAGUACCUAUAGUAACUCUCACUUCUUUUGUAUUAAUAUACUGAACUCUCAGAGUUUCUGAUUUCCCUCUCCUGUGUCUCGAUGAAUACUUAGUUGAAAUCUUCCCUGAAGUUUGAGGCUGACAAUCAGUAGGUUUUCCUGGUGAUCUGUGCCAAUGAUCUUCAUGCACCCUUUCAUCUUUAAGUGAACAAACAUCGUCCUCACUCUCUGUCUCAGUAUCAACUUCAUCUUCACUAAAAUCAUUAAGUUUAGGCUGAAUAUUCAACCAUUUCUUCAUCACAAUUGAAGGCCAAAAUGCCUCUGAUCUUUU
RNAcentral lists this unclassified non-coding RNA (330 nucleotides) under Hevea brasiliensis (rubber tree). Lineage: Eukaryota; Viridiplantae; Streptophyta; Magnoliopsida; Malpighiales; Euphorbiaceae. The record is from RNAcentral.